GUGGGGAAUCUUGCGCAAUGGGCGAAAGCCUGACGCAGCCAUGCCGCGUGGAUGAUGAAGGUCUUAGGAUUGUAAAAUCCUUUCACCGGUGAAGAUAAUGACUGUAGCCGGAGAAGAAGCCCCGGCUAACUUCGUGCCAGCAGCCGCGGUAAUACGAAGGGGGCUAGCGUUGCUCGGAUUUACUGGGCGUAAAGGGCGCGUAGGCGGACAUUUAAGUCAGGGGUGAAAUCCCGGGGCUCAACCUCGGAACUGCAUUUGAUACUGGGUGUCUUGAGUAUGAGAGAGGUGUGUGGAACUCCGAGUGUAGAGGUGAAAUUCGUAGAUAUUCGGAAGAACACCAGUGGCGAAGGCGACACACUGGCUCAUUACUGACGCUGAGGCGCGAAAGCGUGGGGAGCAAACAGGAUUAGAUACCCGGGUAGUCC
This 425-nucleotide ribosomal RNA is filed under the name uncultured bacterium. Its description in RNAcentral is "partial 16S ribosomal RNA". It matches the Rfam family "Bacterial small subunit ribosomal RNA", at positions 354 to 796 of the family's 1533-position model. The record is from RNAcentral.